This 492-nucleotide ribosomal RNA is filed under the name uncultured bacterium. RNAcentral's name for it is "partial 16S ribosomal RNA". It matches the Rfam family "Bacterial small subunit ribosomal RNA", at positions 29 to 507 of the family's 1533-position model. The record is from RNAcentral.
AGUGAACGCUGGCGGUAGGCCUAACACAUGCAAGUCGAACGGCAGCACAGUAAGAGCUUGCUCUUACGGGUGGCGAGUGGCGGACGGGUGAGGAAUACAUCGCAAUCUACUUUUUCGUGGGGGAUAACGUAGGGAAACUUACGCUAAUACCGCAUACGACCUACGGUUGAAAGCAGGGGCACUUCGGACCUUGCGCGAUUGAAUGAGCCGAUGUCGCAUUAGCUAGUUGGCGGGGUAAAGGCCCACCAAGGCGACGAUCCGUAGCUGGUCUGAGAGGAUGAUCAGCCACACUGGGACUGAGACACGGUCCAGACUCCUACGGGAGGCAGCAGUGGGGAAUAUUGGACAAUGGGCGCAAGCCUGAUCCAGCCAUGCCGCGUGGGUGAAGAAGGCCUUCGGGUUGUAAAGCCCUGUUGUUGGGAAAGAAAAGCAGCAGGUUAAAACCCCGCUGUUCUGACGGUACCCAAAUAAUAAGCACCGGCUAACUUCGUG